GACACAGCCUGGAGAGAGCGGCGUGUCGCUGCGACUGGACUGUGUGUGUGUGACUGAACCCCGUUCGCGCCUCUCUAUAAACGUAAGCUUCCGGGGGGCAGGUGCGGAGACCUCCUCGUCUCGUGGUACCCAAGACAAGCAUCACGGCAUCAUGCCAUGAGGGGCAGACAUCACCUGGGCCCCAGACGGACAAGCAACAGCAGCACCUGACUCGAUUCUUCAAAACACCCCUCAGCUCUGCGAUGGGACCCUUACGAUUCAAUCCAAAAAGACUCAGCAAAGUCGAGGUGGAGAAAAGAUCGUGUUUUUGCUGGAAAAUCAGAGCAAGGUAGAAGGAAUUGCAUCAGAUCUUGGUCCCAGCUGACCUCUUCCCUGACCCAGGGAAGAGGGCCAGGCCAGAGGACA
Long non-coding RNA from Camelus dromedarius (Arabian camel), 405 nucleotides. RefSeq lists it as uncharacterized. The record is from RefSeq and is a predicted model, not a curated record. Lineage: Eukaryota; Metazoa; Chordata; Mammalia; Artiodactyla; Camelidae. The transcript has 3 exons.